CCAUCAACGUACUUGGGCAACGCAAUGUUUGCAGCUUCAUUAAUUGCUCUAUCUGGAAAUCUCCAAUCAAAACCAUUUGUAAAUACCCUAGAACGAGUUCAUGGAACAUUGCAAAGGAUGAAUAAUGAGUAUCUAAGAUCAGCUCUUGACUACCUAGAAACACUGCCAGAUAUAACAGUUGCCAGGAGAACACCGGACACUUACCAUUGCCCAAACCUAAGUAUCAACAAAUGGACACGACUGUCUUUAUAUGAUGCAGAUUUUGGAUGGGGUCGACCAAUAUACAUGGGUCCAGCAAACGUUGUCCAUGAAGGAAAAAUAUAUAUACUACCAAGUCCAACCGAUGAUGGGAGCUUGUCAUUGGUAGCAUGCCUACAGACUGCUCAUAUGAAACUCUUCGAGAAACAUCUAUACGAAGGCUUGAAGUCAUUUGACAAGAUCAAAGCUCAAUAUUAGUUGUUUGUUCUCUCUAUCAAUAUAUGUAUAAACCUAUAAAUCUUCUACUUAUGUUUCUUUAACUAAGACUUUUUGUUUGGAUCCUGUUUAUUUGAAAUUUACCAUCUAAGCUGGCCUGGCAAACAGGUCUUUUAUUGGUAAUUAUUGUACUAUACCUCGAUAAUAGUAAUAGCAUUGAUCGCAAAGAAAUAAUAAAGUAAAAUAAGAAUACACAGAUUUUACGUGGAAAAGUCUUAUUAGAAAAAAAAUCACGGGCAAAGUAAAAAUUUACUAAUGUUGAAAAGCAACAAUACAAGAAGUUUUUUUUACUACACACGUUUUAACGGUUAAAUAACAUUUUUAUAAUCAAUGUCUAAUAGAAGAUCGCUCCCACAUAUCCCCCAAAUUUGCAAUUCUAUUUUAUUUCUUUAACAAACAAGUUGCACCUCGAAUUUUUCUUGACUGGAUCAAACGGGGUUCAAAUCAAACAGCUCUGACAACACCUCAAAUUAUUUGUCCAUAACCAAUUAAAACAAAUACCGAAUAAUUGAAAUAUAUUCAAAAUUUUAAAUUAAAUUAAGUUUGGAUCAAACUCACUGAUGAUAUAUGAUUUACCUAAAGUGAAAUAAGAACUCGAAAAUACAAAAUUUAUGGGUAAAUUUUCUUUUUGGUCACUUAAUUAAAAAAUUAUAAUUUGGUUAUUAAACUAUUCAAAAGUUUUAUUUUAAGUCAUUGGAUUGUUAAAAUUUAUAUUAUACAACUUUCUCUAUUCGCAGUGCAUGCAUCAAUUGAAAGCUCUCUUUUUCCUUCAUUUUUACAGUUCAUUUUCUAUUUUUAUGUAACAACUUUGGACGUCAUAAAUCUGUAGACCAAAAUUUAAACAUUUUUUGCUCUGAUUUCCAACAUCGACCAUCAAAUCAAUUUAGAUCUAAAGUAUAUUUUUCUACUCAUUAAUGGAAUAAUGGGUAUCGAUCCAUCGUAUCGAUUGUUGAACCCUUACUUGGAGCUCGUUAGUGGAACUUAAAAAACAACUUAAUAGCCUAGUGACUUAAAUGAAAAUUUUCAAAUUUAGUGACCAAACCAAAAACUUUCCCAUAAUUUAAUGACUAAUGGUGUAGUUUACGCACUUCCUCUUGGCCCAAUUGAAGUUUUUGGUACUCCCAAACACUAGUAAAAAAGUUUUAAUAGUAGAAUGUAUGAAAUUUUUAAUAGAAAGUAACAUUUUACUUUUUGAUCUAUAUACAGAGACUAAUGUGCCAAUUUUUUAAAAUAAAUAUGACAAAAUGCAAUUUGACUUUUAAUAUAAAAAUCUCCAUGGUGCGUUUACCUUGAAAUUAUCAAUAAAAACUAAUAAAUAUAAAAUGAAACAGUUAAGAAUAUAUCAAAUAUUCACGAGGUGAUAGGCGCUUUUAAAAUUUAACAUUUACAACUUAAUGGGCUAGUGACAAGGCCAAGCAAACCAUUAGUGGAUUGGUAACAAAUUUGGUAAUAUUUUAACGAUCCAAUUGUUAAAUAUAUCGAUAUAACUGUAUUUGGUAUGAAUGUAAAAUUUCGAACCGAUCCGAUAUUUCUGACAUAUUGAUCUAAAAUAUUGCAUAUAUUAAACUAUUAAAUUUUUUUAUAUAAAAUAAAUAGUUAGUUUUUUUUUUAAUUUACAUCAAAUUUGACAUGCACAAUCUAUUUGAAUAGAAUAUGAAAUAUGAUAAUUGAAUCAUUAAAAUAUUAAUUGUAUAAAAAAUAAAAUACAUAUUUUAAAUUUAAUAUAAAAAUGUUUAAAAAACACUAAAAUAAAUUAAUAAAAUUCUCAAUGACUUUUGGGUUUAAAUCAAAAUUAUCGAAACUGGAUUAGAUCAAAUCGAAAAUUAAUUAAGGUAUGAGUUUGGAAUAAGAGGAUUAAUUAUCUCACAAAUUGGUUAAAUCGACAAAUCAGAUCAAUUUUUUUUCAAUUUUUAAUUUUUUAAUAAUUUAUUUAAUUAAAUUAAUAAAAUCAAUCAAAUCAGAAUUAGAAUCUAAUUCUAAACACUUUGUUUUGUUAUGUCAAAGCCACAUGUUUUUUUACACCUUAUUUAUUCUGCAAAUUACUGUCCGCACGUGUCAACUCUUUAUCAUCUUUUAAUGACGUGUACGGUAUAGAUAGCCUGUCUUCAAUUUUUUUAUUUGCCAAAUUCUGUUAUUAGUCCCUGUAUUAUAAGUAGUUUGCGAAUUUAAUCUCUAUAUUAAAAAAAUAGUCAAUUUUAGUUCUUAUACUUUUUAGCAUCUAAAAUUUUAAUCAUCCACAAGGAGUAGUAAUUAAAUAUGUUUGUUAAUUUAGGUCCUUAAUCUUUUACACAGUAUAAAGUUAUUCUACGUUCUCUAAUUUGAUCAUUCAUAAUCCUUAUAUUUUUUGAAUUUUUAAAUUUUAAUAAGCUGACAUAAUAUUACAUAUAUGAUAAUAUUUUUGACACAUAAGAUUUUGAACAUAAUAAAACAUAAUGAAUUUAAUGGUUAUCGUUUAGAUCAGGAUUGAAAUUUUAAAAUUAGAAAAAUAUAUGGACUAAAAUGAUUAAAUUAAAGUACAUACACUAAAUUUACAACUUUCCCAUUGCACAAGUACUAAUAGCAGGAUUUACCCUAUUUUUACAUUUAAAUAUGUAAAAAUAUCACCCAUCCACUGCCUCCCAACAGAGAAGAUAGGCUUUUUUUUUUUUGCAAUAAAAGAAUUAAUAAUUACUUGAUAAAUUAUUUUAUGGACAUUUUUUGUCAUAUCAUCCAUGAUCCCGUCCAAUUAGAAGAGAACGCGUCAUCUUUUUUUCCACAUCAUAUAUACAUUUAGACUAAACUUCCAAAUAAAAGAUGACGUGUCGUGUUUUAAUUGGGAGGAACUAUGGAUGAUGGGGUGAAAAAUGUCCAUAAAAUAAUUUCUCAUUAUUACCUUAUCUUCGAACACAAAAACACAAGCAUUAGCAAACAGAUUUCGCCCAUCUGCUACCUCCCAAUCGAGAAGAUAGGUUUUUUUUCUGAGUAACUCAAUUUUUUUGAUUAAUUAUGAACAUAAUUAACUUAAAAAUUAUGUCCGUAAAUGAUUUGAUUUUUACAGUGCUUGUCGAUGUUGCCAGACACACCGACGGCACCAGGCCCAUCAUCGACCAAUAAUUAUAUUAUUUUAAACAUUUUCAAUUCAUUCCUUAGCAUAUUUAAAUUUAUAUAAAUUGAGAUAAUUUUUUGAAGGAUAUAUUUGGGUAAUUUAAAUAAGACUUUUAACUUUAUUGUUUCUAAAAAAAUAAAAAAUUAUUUUUAUUAUUCUUAUAUUUUUAAGGACUAUUUAAAUAUAAUUUUAAAAAUAGAUAUACUUAACACGCAAAUAAAUAAAAAAUUAAAAAGCAUCAAAUUUGGUGCCGACAUGGUGCACCCUUUUUCUGCAAACUAAAAAGUUAUUAUUUUCUAGGUAAGGAAUAGUCUGUUUUAUUUACCUCAUAUUAUAUUUUAGUUAUUUAUAUUUAAAAUGUUAUUUUUAAGUGGUCACUCCACUGUUAAAUUUCGUUACCUCUCUAACGGUAAUUUUAUGUGACAGUUAGACCUGUCCAUGGGCCGGGCGGCUCAGCCUGGCCCGAAGGCCUGCCCGAAAUAUGGGAGGGUUCGGGUAAAAAUAUAGGCCCGAAAUAUGGGCUUGGGCAAAAAAAUGAGGCCCGUUUAAAAAAUGGGCCGGGCUUGGGCUCAACUUUUUUGGCCCGGGCCCGGCCCGGCCCGAAUAUAAUAAAUAUAUUUUUUAUUUUUAUUUUUUAAUUUUAAAAUACGUUAAAAAUAUUUUUUUUAUUUUUAUUUUUUUAUUUUUAAAAUAUUUUUUUGUGUUUAUUAAAAAUCGGGCCGGGCCCGGGCUUAUUAUUUUUUUCUCGGGCCGGGCCUGAGAAAAAUUUUAGGCCCAUAUUUCGGGCAGGGCCUAAGAGUCGGGCCGAAUUUUUUCCCGGGCCCAGCCCGGCCCAUGGACAGGUCUAGUGACAGUACAAAUGGGUUUUAAAUGCCAACUACGAUGCCCAAUUAUUAUGACAAAAAUAGGUUUUUAAUUAAAUAAAUUUAAUUUAGACUGCCACGUAGGACCGUCAUUAGGGAGGUAAGAGAGCUUAAUGAUAGAGUGAUCAAUUCGUAACAGAACGAUAACAUUAGUGACUAAAACGUAACAUUUCAAACUUAAGCGACUGUUUUAUAGUUUACCCUUAAUGUAAUUAUUGGCGGAUGAUCUGGCCGCACCGACAAACAGCAGAAAUUGAGUCAUUUUCGUAAUUAUUUACAAAAUUUGGGUUACUUUUCUAAAAAAACCAGAGAAGAGAACCUCGCCUCUGCUUAAGAUAGCCGGACACUUUCUAACUUUCCCUUCUUUCAGUUUUUCAUCAACAGGUUUGCCUCUUACCAGAACAUCAAUGGAUGUUAGUGUAAAGAGAUGGAGCAUGAUACGCCCUGCUCAAGAUACUCCUAAAGAAAGGCAAUGGAUUUCAAAUCUGGACAUGGUGAUAACAACAUACCAUGUCCCUUUGCUGUUUUUCUACAAACCAAAUGGCUCCUCUGAUUUCUUUAAGCCUCAAGUGCUACAGGAGGCUUUAAGCAAGACUCUUGUGCAAUUCUAUCCUAUGGCUGGGAGGUUGGGACGUGAUGAAAAUGGUAGGCUCGAGAUAGUAUGCAACGCAGAGGGUGUUCUGUGGAUAGAAGCUGAAACUACAUCGGCCAUGGAUGAUCUCGACGGUUUUACUCCCUGCUCAAAACUGAGGAAACUGGUUCCCACGGCUGAUUACUCUGGAGAUAUCAGUUCUUAUCCGCUUAUUAUGGCUCAGGUAAGUGAAUGAAGAACUAUUAGCUUAUUAUAGAUGAUAACUGUUACUUGCAGUAGGAGACCAAGGAUAAGCUCUGAGAAAACUCAAACAGUCUGAUACUGAAGUUAUAGCACAAGAAAAACUAAGCUAUCAGCUAAGAAGUUGAUAUAUGGCUUUUUUUUUUCUAAACUGACUUAAAAGAAUCGAUUAAUUAUGAAAAUUACCCAGGUAUAAUAUCUUAUAUGAGAAUGACCCGUUUUCUACCGUAAAAAUUGGUACCGCUAGACUAUUUAGCGGUACCGAUAUUUUUGUAAAAGUAUUACCAUCAACAAAUUAUCGAUAUAUACUUUCCAUUCAUCUUCACAAGAAAGUGCUAAUUACGGAGGUCCAUGGUGGUGGCUUAGUAGUGAUGAAGAUGAAACCAAAACCCUUUUCUCUUCAAUGAACCUCUGGUUUGACUCAUUUGUAAUAAUUAUUUUCGCUCGUUGGAUACAACCGCAUUUUAAAUGGAAAACUGUAAUAAUCCUCACAGAAGAAAAGCAAAGAACAAGAUUAAUCAAAGCGAACAAUAUUGUUACAAAUGAGUUAGGCGAGAGGUUCAUUGAAGAGAAAAGGGUUUCGAUUUCAUCUUCUUCACUGCUAAGCCACUGCCAUGGAACUCUUAGACCUUUCUCAUGAAGCUAAACGAUACCAUCAACAAAGUGUAUCCUUUUUACAAAACUAACAUCGGUGCCAACAAUGAGUCCGGCAACAUUCAAAAAAUAUAUAUUUUUAAAAAACAUGGGGUGGUGCUUCAAUGGAAAUGGUGGCACCAAAUUUUAUGAUAGAAAAUGGGUUAUUCUCGUACAAAAUUUUACACUUGAGUCAUUUUUAUAAUUAAUAAAAUUUUUUGGUCAAUUUUGAAAAAAAAAACCUUAAUGUUUUUGUUUCGAAAAGGUCAAUUGUUGAGUGUAUAUUUUGCUAGGUAACUACUCUUAAAUGCGGUGGAGUUUGUCUUGGAAUAGCAACUCAUCAUACUUUGACUGAUGGCACAAUGACCUUACAUUUCAUUAAUAGUUGGUCUGAAAUGGCAAGAGGCUUGCCCCAAAUUAGCAUGCCACCAGUUAUUGACCGAACCCUUCUUCGAGCAAGAGUGCCACCAAUCCCUAGAUUUCAUCAUCUCGAAUAUGACCGACCUCCUUCCUUAUACACCUCUACGUCACUUGGCCCUAAUAACCAUAAACCCUCAACUGUAUAUGUUUUCAAGAUCACACAAAAUCAACUUAAUACCCUAAAAGCCAAGUCAUGGGAACAUGGAAACAAAACCAAUUACAGCACCUACACCAUUCUAGUUGCAUACAUAUGGCGCUGUGCAACUAAAGCUUGGGACCUCUCAUAUGAUCAGCCAACCAAGUUACACAUGCCAACUGAUGGACGCCCCAGACUACAUCCUCCCCUCCCAUCAACGUACUUGGGUAACGCAAUGUUUGCGGCUUCAUUAAUUGCUCUAUCUGGAAAUCUGCAAUCAGAACCGUUUGUAAAUACCCUAGAACGAGUUCAUGGAACAUUGCAAAGGAUGAAUAAUGAGUAUCUAAGAUCAGCUCUUGACUACCUAGAAACACUGCCAGAUAUAACAGUUGCCAGGAGAACACCGGACACUUACCAUUGCCCAAACCUAAGUAUCAACAAAUGGACACGACUGUCUUUAUAUGAUGCAGAUUUUGGAUGGGGUCGACCAAUAUACAUGGGUCCAGCAAACGUUGUCCAUGAAGGAAAAAUAUACAUACUACCAAGUCCAACCAAUGAUGGGAGCUUGUCACUGGUAGCAUGCCUACAGACUGCUCAUAUGAAACUCUUUGAGAAACAUCUAUACGAAGGCUUGAAGUCAUUUGACAAGAUCAAAGCUCGAUAUUAGUUGUUUGUUCUCUCUAACAAUAUAUGUAUAAACCUAUAAAUCUUCUACUUCUGUUUCUUUAACUAAGACUUUUUGUUUGGAUCCUGUUUAUUUGAAAUUUACCAUCUAAGCUGGCUUGGCGAACAGGUCUUUUAUUGGUAAUUAUUGUACUAUACCUCGAUAAUAGUAGUAUCAUUGAUCGCAAAGAAAUAAUAAAGAAAAAUAAGAAUAUACAGAUUUUACGUGGAAAAGUCUUACUAGGAAAAAAAAUCACGAGCAGAGUAAAAAUUCACUAAUGUUGAAAAAUACUAAUACAAGAAGUUUUUUUGACUACACACAUUUUAACGGUUAAAUAACAUUUUUAUAAUCAACGUUUAAUAGAAGAUCGCCCCCACAUAUCCCCCAAAUUUGCAAUUCUAUUUUAUUUCUUUAACAAACAAGUUGCACCUCGAAUUUUUCUGAUUGGAUCAAACGGGGUUCAGAUCAAACAGCUCUAACAACAACUCAAAUUAUUUGUCCAUAACCAUAUUAAAACAAAUACCGAAUAAUUGAAAUAUAUUCAAAAUUUUAAAUUAAAUUAAGUUUGGAUCAAACUCACUGAUGAUAUAUGAUUUACCUAAAGUGAAAUAAGAACUCGAAAAUACAAAUUUUAUGGGUAAAUUUUCAUUUUGGUCACUUAAUUAAAAAAUUAUAAUUUGGUUAUUAAACUAUUCAAAAGUUUUAUUUUAAGUCAUUGGAUUGUUAAAAUUGAUAUUAUAUGACUUUCUCUGUUCACAGUGCAUGCAUCAAUUGAAAGCUCUCUUUUUCCUUCAUUUCUACAGCUCAUUUUCUAUUUUUAUGUAACAACUUUGGACGUCACAAAUUUGCAGACCAAAAUUCAAACAUUUUUUGCUCUGAUUUCCAACAUGGACCAUCAAAUCAAUUUAGAUCUAAAUUAUAUUUUUAUACUCAUUAAUGGGUACUGAUCCACCAUAUCGAUUGUUGAAUCCUUACUUGGAGCUCGUUAAUGGAACUUAAAAAACAACUUAAUAUAUAGCCUAGUGACUUAAAUGAAAAUUUUUGAAUUUAGUGGCCAAACCAAAAACUUUCCUAUAAUUUAAUGAUUAAUGGUGUAGUUUACGCACUUCCUCUUGGCCCAAUUAAAGUUUUUGGUACUCCCACACACUAGUAAAAAAGUUUUAAUAGUAGAAAUGUAUGAAAUUUUUAAUAGAAAGUACCAUUUUACUUUUUGAUCUAUAUACAGAGACUAAUUUGCCAAUUUUUUAAAUAAAUGGGGUAAAAUGUAAUUUGACUUUUAAUAUAAAAAUCUCCAUGGUAUGUUUACCUUGAAAUUAUCAAUAAAAACUAAUAAAUAUAAAAUGAAACAGUUAAUAAUAUAUCAAAUAUCCACGAGGUGAUAGGUGAUUUUAAAAUUUAACAUUUACAACUUAAUGGGCUAGUGACAAGGCCAAGCAAACCAUUAGUGGAUUGGUAACAAAUUUGGUAAUAUUUCAACGAUCCAAUUGUUUAAUAUAUCGAUAUAACUGUAUUUGGUAUGCAUGUAAAUUUUUGAACCGAUCCGAUAUUUCUGACAUAUUGAUCCAAAAUAUUGUAUAUAUUGAACUAUUAAAAGUUUUUUAUAUAAAAUAAAUAGUUAGUUUUUUUUUUAAUUUACAUCAAAUUUGACAUGCAUAAUCUAUUUGAAUAGAAUAUGAAAUAUGACAAUUGAAUCAUUAAAAUAUGGGUAAACUACACCCAUGGUCACUUUUGUUUACCUUAGGUUACAUUUCAGUCACUUAUGUUUGAAAUGUUACAUUUUAGUCACUUACGUUAUCGUGUUGUAACAUUUUAGUCACUGAGCCGUUAAUUGCCGUUAAUGGUGUAAUGGUAAGCUGACGUGGCACGUUAAAUCAUCAUUUCAAACAAAAACUUUAGGUUAAAUUAUAAAAAAAAUUAAAUUACUAAAAACGAAAAAAAUAUGGGGAUCAAUUAUAUAAUUUAACCUAAAAUUUUGUUUGAAAUGAUGAUUUAACGUGCCACGUCAGCUUACCGUUACACCAUUAACGACGAUUAAUGGCUCAGUGACUAAAAUGUUACAACUUGAUAACGUAAAUGACUAAAACGUAACAUUUCAAACAUAAGUGACUUAAACGUAACCUAAAGUAAACAAAAGUGACCAUGAGUGUAGUUUACCCUUAAAAUAUUAAUCGUAUAAAAAAAUAAAAUACAUAUUUUAAAUUUAAUAUAAAAAUGUUUAAAAAACACUAAAAUAAAUUAAUAAAAUUCUCAAUGACUUUUGGGUUUAAAUCACAAUUAUCGAAACAGGACAAAUCGAAAAUUAAUUAAUGUAUAAAUUUGGAAUAAGAGGAUUAAUUAUCUCACAAAUUGGUUAAAUCAACCAAUCAGAUAAUUUUUUUCAUUUUUAAAUUUUUUAAUAAUUUAUUUAAUUAAAUUAAUCAAAUCAAUCAAAUCGGAAUUAGAAUCUAAUUCUAAACACUUUGCUUUGUUAUGUCAAAGCUAUAUGUUUUUUUUACACCUUAUUUAUUCUGCAAAUUAUUGUCCGCACAUGUCAACUCUUUAUCAGCUUUUAAUGACGUGUACGGUAUAGAUAGCCUAUCUUCAAUUUUUUUUAUUUGCCAAAUUCUUUUAUUAUUCCUUGUAUUAUAAUUAGUUUGUGAAUUUAAUCUCUAUAUUAAAAUAAAAUGUCAAUUUUAGUCCUUAUACUUUUUAGCAUUUAAAAUUUUAAUCCUCCACAAAGAGUAGUAAUUAAAUAUGUUUGUUAAUUUAUGUCGUUAAUCUUGUACACAGUAUAAAGUUAUUCCACGUUCUCUAAUUUGAUCAUUCAUAAUCCUUAUAUUUUUUGAAUUUUUAAAUUUUAACAAGCUGAUAUAAUAUUACAUAUAUGAUAAUAUUUUUGACGUAUAAGAUUUUGAAAAUAAUAAAACUACUUAAUGAAUUUAAUGAUUAUCGUUUAUAUCAAUAUUGAAAUUUUAAAAUUAGAAAAAUAUACGGACUAAAAUGAUUAAAUUAAAGUACAUAGACUAAAUUUACAACUUGCCCAUUGCAUAAGUACUAAUAGCAGGAUUUAACCUAUUUUUACAUUUAAAUAUGUAAAAAUAUCACCCAUCCACUGCCUUCCAACAGAGAAGAUAAGUUUUUUUUUUUUAGCAAUAAAAGAAAUAAUAAUUACCUGAUAAAUUAUUUUAUGGAAAUUUUUCACCAUAUCUUCCAUGAUCCCGUCCAAGUAGACGAUGACACAUCAUCGUUUUUUUCCACAUCAUAUGUACAUUUAAACUAAACUUCUAAAUCAAAGAUGACAUGUCUUGUUUUAAUUGGUAGAAACUGUGGAUGGUCGGGUGGAAAAUGCCCAUAAAAUAAUUUCUCAUUAUUACCUUGUCUUCGAACACAAACACACAAGCAUUAGCAAACAGAUUUCGCCCAUCCGCUACCUCCCAAUAGACAAGAUAGGUUAUUUUUAAUUAACUCAAUUUUUUUGAUUAAUUACGAAAAUAAUCAACUUAAAAAUUACGUACGUAAAUGAUUUGAUUUUUACAGUGCUUGUCGAUGCUGCCAGACACAUCGGCGGCACCGGUCUCAUCAUCGACCAAUAAUUGUAUUAUUUUAAACAUUUUCAGUUCAUUCCCUAGCAUAUUUAAAUUUAUAUAAAUUGAGAUAAUUUUUUGAAGGAUAUAUUUGGGUAAUUUAAAUAAGACUUUUAACUUUAUUGUUUCUAAAAAAAUAAAAAGAAUUUAUUUUUGUUAUUCUUAUAUUUUUAAGGGCUAUUUAAAUAUAAUUUUAAAAAUAGAUAUACUUAACACGCAAAUAAAUAAAAAAAUUGAAAAGCAUCAAAUUUGGUGCCGACAUGGUGCACUAAAAAGUUAUUAUUUUCUGGGUAAAUUAUAGCAAUAGUCACUUUUAUUUACCUCAUAUUAUAUUUUAGUUAUUUAUGUUUAAAAUAUUACAUUUUAGUCACUUACAUUAUCAUUUUGUUAUUAAGUGAUCACUCCACCGUUAAACUUCGUUACUUCUCUAACGGUAGUCCUAUGUGACAGUACAAAUUGAUUUUAAAUGCCAACUGGCAACUAUGAUGUCCAAUUGUUGGGACAAAAAUAGGUUUUUAAUUAAAUAAAUUUAAUUUGGACUGCCACGUAGGACCGUCAUUAGGAAGGUAAGAGAGCUUAAUGAUAAAGUGACCAAUUCGUAAUAAAACGAUAAUAUAAGUGACUAAAACGUAAUAUUUUAAACUUAGGUGAAUAAAAUAUAAUCUGAAGCAAAUAAAAGUGACUGGUUUAUAGUUUAUCCAUAAUGUAAUUAUUGGCGGAUGAUCUGGCCGCACCGACAAACAGUACAAAUUGAGUCAUUUUCGUAAUUAUUCACAAAAUUUGGGUUACUUUAAUAAAAACCCGAGAAGAGAACCUCGCCUUUGCUUAAGAUAGACGGGCACUUUCUGACCUUCCCUUCUGUUGGUUUUUCAUCAGCAAGUUUGCCUCUGAUGGGUUGUCGAAUCCACCAAUGUAAACCUACGCCUAACUUGCAAAUUAAGCAGUAUAGGGAGUAGGGUCGAUCCCUCAGAGACUGGGUUUACUGCAAAUUGUUCCUCUCUUGACCAGAUUUUUGUCAGGGCAGUUGUCGUGCCCAAGAAAUUCAGAGGGAUAAAAUCUGAAACCUGAAAUAAAUAAAUAAAAAGCGUAAAAAGUAAAAGUUGAAGACAGAAUAAUAAAAACAGUGAAAUAAAUAUGAAGAAAAAUUAAUUAGAAUAAGCUCAGCUUUAGGCACGAAUUUUCCUCGUCUUUGAACCGAUCCUCGAAAUUGGAUGAACUCCUCUUUUCCAAUAACUAGUUAUAGCUACCAAGGACGCCUCGGGCACCAACUCUUCCUUGUGUAAAUUAGUUAUGGAACAUCCAAUAACUAACCUUUACCAAUCGAACAACCACGAAACAUUCGUGAUUUAGAACUCCGACAGCUUUGCGUUCUAGAAGAGCCUAGCUCGAACCAAUGCCCUCAACCGCGUGGGACAUUUAAAUCCGGUUACUACUUCCCUUGACGGAACCAAAUAGCAAUCUCCACGGGCACGCCACUGUGUUCACAGAAAACCAAAUAGAAACGUUCCUUUCGGAAUUCCAACUGUACGUCUAAUCACACUAAAUCAAACGACGUCUUUUUUUGACUUAGUGCUGGUCUGACUUUAUGAGUUGACAAAAUCAUACUCUUAAUCCAGAGAAGUAAUAAGUACUAGAAUUUUAGGAGUUAAAUGGCUCGGGUUCGUAACUCACGGGUUUUGACGAUGCUAAUUUCGGCCUAAAGCUGAAAAUGGUUUUAGUUGGCUAAGGUUUGGGGCACGUUGGUAUUAGAAUAAUUAAAUAAGAUUGAAUAAAUGAAAAAAAAAAAUGAAAGUGAGUGGUGAAGGUUAUGCAAGGUUGGAAAUUAAUUGCUAACAAAAAACAGGAAAGAAAAGAUUGAAUUGCAAGAGAUAAAAGCUUAAUUUAAAAACGAAAUGAUUAAAAACUUGAUGGAAAAUUUUAUGAAAAGACUUGAUGAAAAACUUUAAAAAGAACUUGCUGCAAAACUUGAUAAAAAAACUUGGUAAUUAAAAACUUGAUAAAAGAACUAGAUGAAAAAUACUUGAAGAAUGAAAAACACUUAAUGAAAGACUCAAUUGAAAGCUUGAUUCAUGAAUUGAUGAAUUGAUAAACAAUGUAGCCUCUAUUUAUACUAGUAGCUUUACUAAAUUAGGAGCCAACUAGUAUAGAAAAUCAAGGAAAAUAUUCCAUAAUAUAAAAAAUAUCCCAAAAUAAUCUCCCACUAAGUCAACAAUUUCAGCUAAUUAUUCUUGGAAAAAUUCUACUUUGGCCCUCGUUCUUUGCUUCUUUCNNNNNNNNNNNNNNNNNNNNNNNNNNNNNNNNNNNNNNNNNNNNNNNNNNNNNNNNNNNNNNNNNNNNNNNNNNNNNNNNNNNNNNNNNNNNNNNNNNNNNNNNUUAACCAAUUUAAUUACAUAAAAUAUGUAACUUUAGCAUUUAAUCAAAUCCCCCUACUUAGCUUAUUCUAGUCCUCGAGCAUUUUGUAUGUAUCUGCAAAAGGAAAAAUUUUCUCCAAAAUAGGACUUGGCCCUCAUGGUUUGCACAAUUCAACAAUUUAAUCCUAGCACACUAACAUCUCAAAUAACCUAGCCUAAGAAGUAAGUAAAUAUAUUUCAGAAUUUAUUAGAGCUUGAUAGACUUACCUUUCAUUUUAUUAUUUUUUGUGCUUAGGACAUUUUCGAAUUUUUUGACGCGAGACAUGAUGACAACCCAAGCACCAUGUUCCGGUUACUCAAUUCGGAUGUCUCUAAGCGGGUUAUUUCGCCCUACUCAUGAUAACUUGUUAGCGGAGUGAGUGCAAAGAAAUUGGACAGCUACACGAACCUUUUUACGCGAGAUGUGAUGACAACCCAAGCACCAUAUUCCGGUUACUUAGUCCAGUGUACAACCUCAAUUUUCACUCUUAACAUUCGUAUCAGAGGAGUAUUAUUAUUCAUUUUUUCUUUUUUUUCUUUUCUUUUUUUUUUUGAAAGAUAAAAUAGGUAGUCAAGCAAACUCAUAAUUCCCAAAAAUUUCUUACCCACUAAGUCUAGGUUAUUGAAAAGUUGUAUGUGUAAAGAACUAGAUAGCUAAAUAGGUCAAACCAUAAGUGUACCAUCCCAAUUUAUCAAAAGAAAAAUUUUACCUUUCACGAAAAACAUGCAAAAAUAGCGACAACAGAUAAGUAAAUUAGAACCAAUUUAUAUUUCCAUCCCCCCUACUUAUUUUACAUUGUCCCAAUGUAAUUCAAAGAAUAAAAGUAAAGAUAAGUAGGAGAAAGAGAGAAAAAGAAACUCUCCAUGUAUUUCAACGUCGUGGAGGGUGGUCUCGUAGGUAGAGUGGGCCUUGGCUGAAAUAAAAAGAAUUUUGUGGGUUGACAUGUGGAAUUUAAUUUUGUCUUGGAAUGUUUUCCUGUAAAAAUAAAAAUGAAAAUAAAAUAAAAUAGAAAAAAUAAAUAAUAAUAAUAAUAAUAGGAAAAUUUUAAAAAAUUCAAAUUUAUUAGCUAAGCUAUAAACUCGAAAAAUAAAUUAUUAAAAACCAAGAUUACGAGAUUUGGUAAAACAGUCGUGAUAAAUGCACCAAGUAAGUUCCCAGGAAAGAGAGGUGAGCCACAAUGGACAUACUUAAGUACCAAGUCUUUCCCUAGACAGAACUAAUCCUUGACAUGCAUUUUCAUUUUCUAUUUUACCAAAAAUUUUAUUUGCAUAAAGGAAAAGAAAAUUUGGGUUGCCUCCCAACAGCACUUUGUUUAACGUCGUUUAGCUCGACGACCUGUGUUAUUCAAAUUCUUUAUCUUUUUGUAAUAGACUGCAAAGCGGUUGCAUGAUCUUCGAGAAGUCUUUUAUGAAUUGUCUGUAAAAUCCGUACACCGUGAAAUCAUUCAUGAAGACUUCAAUGAUUUUCUCAACAUAAUCGGAAAAUAUGCUCACCAUGCAUUUCUGGAAAGUGGUCGGAGCAUUACAGAGUCCAAACGACAUUCGUCUAUACGUAAACAUUCUGGAAGGGCACGUGAAAGUUGUUUUGUCUUGAUCCUCUGCCUCCCUCAAUGUUUCGAGGAUUUCUUUUUCCUCUUUCGCUUUCUUAUCCUUUGCGAGCCUCUCUGGAAAAAGAGGUGGCAUCAAGAAUGGUUUCUGAAUUUCUGAUUCCGGUCUGACUUUUGGAUCAGAGAUCUGCUUUUCCCGUUCAUUGCCUUACCCAUAACUUUUGUCUGGAACUGUUUCCAGAAUCUUUGCGCUACAAAGAGUUAUUGCACUUACAUUCUGCCUAGGAUUCAGCUCUGUUUGGGAAGGUAAUUUACCUUGAGAUUCCAAACGAUUAACUGCCAUCGAGAGUUUACUAACUUGAUUAGUUAACUCUUAUAUUGAUGCGUCUGUCCUCUUUUGAUAUUUUGCAGCAUUGAAAGCAAGUCUUUCCACAAGAGCGUCUAGAGAUGUGCUUGACUUGGGUUGUUAUUGUGGUGGUUACAAAUGUCUCGGUUGGUAUGAUGGAUUAUAUCGGGGAUUAGCUCCGUAAUUCAAGUUGGGAUGAUCCUUCCACCCGGGAUUGUAAGUGUUGAAGAAAGGAUCAUAACGUCUUUGUGGAGGUUCUGAAAAACCUCCGAUAGCAUCAACAUGUGCCUUUGAAUUUUCGUUAAGGAUUGGGCACAAAUCUGUCGAAUGUUCAGAUAUAGUACAAAUUCCACACGGUUGGGUCCGAUUCUUCUUUUCUGUAAGCAUAGAUUGAACAAUAUUAGUAAGCUUAUCCAAUUUAUCUUCUAAGGAUGAAACGUUUACCCAAUUAACCCGUCUUGUGGGUUCUGAAUCCGGCCGAUACUGUUGAGAAUUUGUCGCCAUGGUGGAUAUUAGUUCUCUUGCCCUUUGAGGAGUCAUAUUGACAAGCGCCCCUCCACUAACAGCGUCAAUCAUCUUCAUUUCCAUAGGGAGCAAACCCUCGUAGAAAUAUUGAAAAAGUGAUUGCACGGUCAAACUGUGUUGAGGACAACUUGCACACAGUUUUUUAUACCGCUCCCAAUAGUCGUAGAGCGAUUUACUCUCCAUUUGGCGAAUUCCCACUAUGUCUCUCCUUAGUUCAGCUACUUGCGAUGUUGGGAAAAAUCUGUCAAGAAAAACACGAGAUAAGUCAUCCCACGUUGUAAUAGAACCAGGGGGUAAGUAAAAUAACCAUUCUUUUGCUGUAUCAACUAAAGAAAAAAGAAAGGCCCGAAGUUUAAUUUUAUCUUCGGUUACUCCCUGUGGUUUCAAGCUUGAGCAGACCAUGUGGAAUUCUCUCAAGUGAGUGUGUGGAUUUUCAUUCUUCAAGCCUUGAAAAGUGAGCAAAAGGUGAAUUAGGACUGACUUUAACUCGAACGAGGUUUUUCCGACUGGAUAGUUGAUGCAUAACGGUGUUUGCUCGUUGGGAGCAGUGGCUAGUUGACGAAUGGUUCGGUUCACCAUCCUUUCUAGUUCACCGAGGUUGUCUUCUGCUUCUUUUAUUUUAGGAAGUGAUUUGGUCUCAGGUUCAACCACUUCAACUUUUUUUCCACGUUGAAUUGCUUCUACACGUUUAAGAACUUCUGUCUCUUUACGUCGUGCUCGUGCUGAUUUUUUGAUCUCUGGGUCGUAUUCGAGAUCUCCGGAGGAAGAUCUGGUCAUGAAAAUAAUCUAAACAAUUGUAAGUGUUGCCAGUCCCCGGCAACGGUGCCAAAACUGAUGGGUUGUCGAAUCCACCAAUAUAAACCUACGCCUAACUUACAAAUUAAACAGUAUAGGGAGUAGGGUCUAUCCCUCAGAGACUGGGUUUACUGCAAAUUAUUCCUCUCUUGACCAGAUUUUUGUCGGGGCAGUUGUCGUGCCCAAGAAAUUCGGGGGGAUAAAAUUUGAAACCUGAAAUAAAUAAAUAAAAGCGUAAAAAGUAAAAGUUGAAGAUAGAAUAAUAAAAACAGUGAAAUAAAUAUGAAGAAAAAUUAAUUAGAAUAAGCUCAGCUUUAGGCAUGAAUUUUCCUCAUCUUUAAACCGAUCCUCGAAAUUGGAUGAACUCAUCUUUUCCAAUAAGCUAGUUAUAGCUACCAAGGACGCCUCAGACACCAACUCUUCCUUGUGUAAAUUAGUUAUGGAACGUCCAAUAACUAACCCUUACAGGUCGAAUAACCACAAAACGUUCGUGAUUUAGAACUCCGGUAGCUUUGCGUUCUAGAAGAGCCUAGCUCGAACCAAUGCCCUCAACCGCGUGGGACAUUUAAAUCCGGUUACUACUUCCCUUGAUGGAACCAAAUAGCAAUCUCCACUUGGCACACCAAUGUGUUCACAGAAAAACGAUUAGAAACGUUCCUUUCAGAAUUCCAACUGUACGUCUAAUCACACAAAAUCAAACGACAUCUUUUUUUGACUUAGUACUGAUCUGAUUUUGUGAGUUGACAAAAUCAUACUCUUAAUCCGGAGAAGUAAUAAGUACUGGAAUUUUAGGAGUUAAAUGGCUCGGGUUCGUAACUCACGGGUUUUGACAAGGCUAAUUUCGGCCUAAAGCUGAAAAUGGGUUUAGUUGGCUAAGGUUUGGGGCAUGUUGGUAUUGGAAUAAUUAAAUAAGAUUGAAUAAAUGAAAAAAAAUGAAAGUGAGUGGUGAAGGUUAUGCAAGGUUGGAAAUUAAUUGCUGACAAAAAACAGGAAAGAAAAGAUUGAAUUGCAAGAGAUAAAAGCUUAAUUUAAAAACGAAAUGAUUAAAAACUUGAUGGAAAAUUUUAUAAAAAGAUUUGAUGAAAAACUUUAAAAAGAACUUACUGCAAAACUUGAUAAAAAACUUGGUAAUUAAAAACUUGAUAAAAGAACUAGAUGAAAAAUACUUGAAGAAAGAAAAACACUUAAUGAAAGACUUAAUAGAAAGCUUGAUUCAUGAAUUGAUGAAUUGAAAAACAAUGUAGCCUCUAUUUAUACUAGUAGCUUUACUAAAUUAGGAGCCAACUAGUAUAGAAAAUCAAGGAAAAUAUUCUAUAAUAUAAAAAAUAUCCCAAAAUAAUCUCCCACUAAGUCAACAAUUUCAGAUAAUUGUUCUUGGAAAAAUUCUGCUUUGGCCCUCAUUCUUUGCUUCUUUCUUCAAUCUAGCCCAAUUGUUUCAUUUUUCUUCUAUUUAGCCCCAAAUUGCAUUCCUGCACAAAAUUCAAUAAAUAUGGCAAAAUUCGUGGUGCAUUCUCAUAAAUUAACCCAUUUAAUUACAUAAAAUAUGUAACUUUAGCAUUUAAUCAGCCUCUUACCAGAACAUCAAUGGAUGUUAGUGUAAAGAGAUGGAGCAUGAUACGCCCUGCUCAAGAUACUCCUAAAGAAAGGCAAUGGAUUUCAAAUCUGGACUUGGUGAUGCCAACAGACCAUGUCCCUUUACUGUUUUUCUACAAACCUAAUGGCUCAUCUGACUACUCCAAGCCUCAAGUGCUACAGGAGGCUUUAAGCAAGACUCUUGUGCAAUUCUAUCCUAUGGCUGGGAGGUUGGGACGUGAUGAAAAUGGUAGGCUCGAGAUAUUAUGCAACGCAGAGGGUGUUCUGUGGAUAGAAGCUGAAACUACAUCGGCUAUGGAUGAUCUCGACGAUUUUACUCCCUGCUCAAAACUGACGAAACUGGUUCCCAAGGCUGAUUACUUUGGAGAUAUCAGUUCUUAUCCGCUUAUUAUGGCUCAGGUAAGUGAAUGAAGGACUAUUAUCUUAUUAUAGAUGAUAACUGUUACUUGCAGUAGGAGACCAAGGAUAAGAUCUGAGAAAACUCAAACAGCCUGAUACUGAAGUUAAAGCACAAGAAAAACUAAGCUAUCAGCUAAGAAGUUGAUAUAUGGCCUUUUUUUCAAAAAUUGAGUUAAAAAGAAUCGAUUAAUUAUGAAAAUACCCAGGUAUAAAAUCUUAUACGAGAAUGACCCAUUUUCUACGGUAAAAAUUGGUACCGCGAGACUAAUUAGCGGUACCGAUAUUUUUGUAAAAAGUAUUACCAUCAACAAAGUAUCAAUACUUUCUAUUCAUCUUCACAAGAAAGUGCUAAUUACGGAGGUUCAUAGUGGUGGCUUAGUAGUGAAGAAGAUGAAACCAAAACCCUUUUCUCUUCAAUGAACCUUUGGUUUGACUCAUUUGUAAUAAUCAUUUUCGUUCGUCGAAUUUGACUGCAUUUUAAAUGGAAAACUAUAAUAAUCCUCACUGAAGAAAAGCUAAGAACAAGAUUAGUCAAAGCGAACAAGAUUAUUACAAAUGAGUCGGGCAAAAGGUUCAUUGAAGAGAAAAGGGUUUCGGUUUUCUCUUCUUCACUGCUAAGCCACCACCAUGGAACUUUUAGCACUUUCUCGUGAAGCUAAAUGAUACCAUCAACAAAGUAUUGAUCCUUUACCGAUGCCACCAAUGAGUCCAACAACAUUCAAAAUAAAUAUUUUUUUUUAAAAAAACAUGGGGUGGUGCCUUCAAUGGGAAUGGUGGCACCAAAUUUUAAGGUAGAAAAUGGGUCAUUCACGUACAAGAUUUUACACUUGAGUCAUUUUUAUAAUUAACCAAUUUUUUUGGUCAAUUUUGAAAAUAAAAAACUUUAAUACUUUUGUUUCAAAAAGGUCAAUUGUUGUGUGUUUAUUUUGCUAGGUAACUACUCUUAAAUACGGUGGAGUCUGUCUUGGAAUAGCAACUCAUCAUACUUUGACUGAUGGCACAACGGCCUUUCAUUUCAUCAGUAGUUGGUCUGAAAUGGCAAGAGGCUUGCCCCAAAUUAGUAUGCCACCACUUAUUGACCGAACCCUUCUCCGAGCAAGAGUGCCACCAAUCCCUAUAUUUCAUCAUCUCGAAUGUAACCCACCUCCUUUCUUAAACACCUCUACGUCACUAGGCCCUAAUAACCAUAAACCCUCAACUGUAUCUGUUUUCAAGAUCAUACAAAAUCAACUUAAUACCCUAAAAGCCAAGUCAUGGGAACAUGGAAACAAAACCAAUUGCAGCACCUACACCAUUCUAGCUGCAUACAUAUGACGCUGUGCAACUAAAGCUCGGGGCCUCUCAUAUGACCAAAAAACCAAGUUAGACAUGCCAAUUAAUGGACGUCCCAGACUACAUCCUCCCCUCUCAUCAACGUACGUGGGCAAUGCAACGUUUGCGGGUUCAUUAAUUACUCUAUCUAGAAAUCUCCAAUUAGAACCGUUUGUAAAUACCCUAGAACGAGUUCAUGAAACAUUGAAAAGGAUGAAUAAUGAGUAUCUAAGAUCAGCUCUUGACUACCUAGAAACACUGCCAGAUAUAACAGUUGCCAAGAGAAAACUGGACACUUACCAGUGCCCAAACCUAAAUAUCAACAAAUGGACACGACUGUCUAUAUAUGAUAUAGAUUUUGGAUGGGGUCGACCAAUAUACAUGGGUCCAGCAAAUGUUGUCCAUGAAGGAAAAAUAUACAUACUACCAAGUCCAACCGAUGAUGGGAGCUUGUCACUGGUAGCAUGCCUGCAAACUGCUCAUAUGAAACUCUUUGGGAAACAUCUAUACGAAGGCUUGAAGUCAUUUGACAAGAUCAAAGCUCGAUAUUAGUUGUUUGUUCUCUCUAUCAAUAUAUGUAUAAACCUAUAAAUCUUUUACUUCUGUUUCUGUAACUAAGACUUUUUGUUUGGAUCCUGUUUAUUUGAAAUUUACCAUCUGGCCUGGCGGAUAGGUCUUUUGGUAAUUAUUAUACUAUACUUCAAUAAUAGUAGUAGUAUUGAUCACAAAAAAAUAAUAAAGAAAAAUUAGAAUACACAGAUUUUACGUGAAAAAGUCUUAUUAGGAAAAAAAAUCAUGAACAGAGGAGAAAUUCACUAAUGUUUGAAAACAACAAUGCAAGAGGUUUUUUUGACUACACGUUUAAACGGUUAAAUAACAUUUUUAUAAUCAACGUCUAAUAGAAGAUCGCCCCCACAUAUCCCCCAAAUUUGCAAUUCUAUUUUAUUUUUUUAACAAAUAAGUUGCACCUUGAAGUUUUCUGACUGGAUCAAACGAGAUCAAACAACUCUGGCAACACCUCAAAUUAUUUGUCCAUAACCAUAUUAAAUCAAAUACCAAAUAAUUGAAAUAUAUUCAAAAUUUUAAAUUAAAUUAAGUUUGGAUCAAACUCACUGAUGAUAUAUGAUUUACCUAAAGUGAAAUAAGAACCUGAAAAUACCAAAUUUAUGGGUAAAUUUUCGUUUUGGUCACUUAAUUAAAAAAUUAUAAUUUGGUUAUUGAACUAUUCAAAAGUUUUCUUUUAAGUCAUUGGAUUGUUAAAAUUGAUGUUAUAUGACUCUCUGUUUGCAGUGCAUGCAUCAAUUGAAAGCUCUCUUUUUCCUUCACUUCUACAGUUCAUUUUCUAUUUUUAUGUAACAACUUUGGACGUCACAAAUCUGCAAACUAAAAUUCAAACAUUUUUUGCUUUGAUUUCCAACAUUGACCAUCAAAUCAAUUUAGAUCUAAGGUAUGUUUUUCUACACAUUAAUGGGUACCGAUCCAUCGUAUCUAUUGUUGAAUCCUUACAUGGAGCUCGUUAGUGGAACUUAAAAAACAACUUAACAGCCUAGUGAUUUAAAUGAAAAUUUUCGUAUUUAGUGACCAAACCAAAAACUUUCCCAUAAUUUAAUGACUAAUGGUGUAGUUUAUGCACUUCCUCUUGCCCCAAUUGAAGUUUUUGGUACUCCCAAACACUAGUAAAAAAGUUUUAAUAGUAUAAAUGUAUGAAAUUUUUAAUAGAAAGUACCAUUUUACUUUUUGAUCUAUAUAGAGAUACUGAUUUGUCAAUUUUUUAAAUAAAUGGGACAAAAUGCAAUUUGACAUCUAAUAUAAAAAUCUCCACGACGUGAUAAGUGCUUUCGAAACUGGAUUAGAUCAAAUCGAAAAUUAAUUAAUGUAUCAGUUUGAAAUAAGGGGAUUAAUUAUCUCACAAAUUGGUUAAAUCGACCAAUCAGACCACUGUUUUUCAAUUUUCAAUUUUGUAAUAAUUUAUUUAAUUAAAUUAAUCAAAUCAAUCAAAUCGGAAUUAGAAUCUAAUUCUAAACACUUUGCUUUGUUAUGUCAAAGCCACUUGUUUUUUUUACACCUGAUUUAGUCUACCAAUUACUGUCCACGCGUGUCAACUCUUUAUCAUCUUUUAAUGACGUGUACGGUAUAGAUAGCUUGUCUUCAAUUUUUUUAUUUGCCAAAUUCAGUUAUUAGUCCCUGUAUUAUAAGUAGUUUGAAAAUUUAAUCUCUAUAUUAAAAAAAUAGUCAAUUUCAGUCCUUAUAUUUUUUAGCAUUUAAAAUUUUAAUCCUCCACAAAGAGUAGUGUAACACCCCUUACCCGUAUCCAACACCGGAAUAGGGUACGAGGCAAUACCAGAACACAUACACUUGUAAACAUAUUUAACCGAGUUAUAAAAUUUCAUCUAAAUUAAAACUUUCAAAAUUAUUAACAUGCUUUUAUAACUCUUCACAAUAUAUCCUCAAAAUAUUAUAAUCUUAAUAAAUAGAGUCUACGAGACCCGAUACAUACUCAUACAAUUCAAUGCUUCAUUUCCAUUUCAUUCAAUUCGUAAUUUCUCAUGCUCACAAUUUAGAUCAUAUCACCAGCAAUUUCCAUUUAAUUCAUGUACAAUUCAAUGUCACUAAGUUUAACACUAAUACGUAUUUACCAUUUAACUCAACGUUUAUCGGUUAUACCAUUCAUUAACACAUUUAUGAAAUUCUCAAUUUUGCAAUGAAGAUAUCACUUUAGCUUAAAUAACAACAUCAUCCUGGUAUAAAUACACUACCACUUAUCCAUUUGCUUUAAUUCUUUUGGGCCCAUUUGUCACUUACCAUCCUUAAUCAAAUUAGGGAAUGGUUACAGAAAAUUGAGUACUUCACUUCCACUUUGCCAUAGUAUAACUGUGGUCUUACUUAUGAUCAGUUAUCACUUGUCCCUGAUCAGAUAAGUGUAGCUAGGCUACCACUUAUCACUUUGUCACUUGAUCAGAUAAGUGUAGCUAAAGCUACCACUUUUCACUUUGUCACCACUUAUCACUUGUUCCUGAUCAAAUAAGUGUAGCUAGGCUACCACUUAUCACUUUGUCACUUGAUUAGAUAAGCGUAGCGAAAGCUACCACUUAUCACUUUGUCACCAUUUAUCACUUGUUCCUGAUCAGAUAAGUGUAGUUAAAGCUACCACUUAUCAUUUUGUCACUUGAUCAGAUAAGUGUAGUUAAAGCUACCACUUAUCACUUUGUCACUUGAUCAGAUAAUUGUAGCUAGGCUAUCACUUAUCACUUUGUCACUUAAUCAGAAGUACUCAAACCCGGCGUUCCGCUCAAUUUGAUCAUUUAUUCAGUUUUCGCAUUUUUAUUUUAUUCUCAUUUCAUCAAUAAAUAUAUAUUUCAUCAUACAUUAUAUAAUUCAUGAAAUUAACAUUUAAUCAUUAAAUUUCAAUCAUAUGAACUUACCAGGCUAAUUUGCAGAAAUACCAAGAUACAAGGGCAUUUUGAUAAUUUUCCAUUUUCUCAAUUUUCUACCCGAUAUUGAUCUAAAUUAAUUUUUCAUUUAAUAAAACAACUCAUUUCAUGCAAUUUGGUCAUUUUUUACAUUUUUCCAAAAUUACCCCUAAAGUUUUACUUUUAUUCAAUUUAGUCCUCGAGCCCAAAUCAUGCAAAUUAACCAUUUUAAAUGCAAAUCCAUGCUAGCAUAAUAUUCAUAAAUUUAUUUUCCUCCUCCUCCUCUCCAUUCCACAUCCUUAAUUUACAAACAUGCUUAUAAGUAACAUUAUCUAUAAUUUCACUAUUUUCUUGUAAAUUUAUUCAAAGCUGUCCAUUUGAGUCAUAGUCGCUAAAUCAUUUAUAUCUUGAGCUACAGAAAUCCAAAUUAAGAUCCGUUAAUUUUUCCUGAAACUAGACUCACAUAUCUUCUUCCCAUAAAAUUUUCAGAAUUUUUGGUUCAGCCAAAUAGUACAGUUUAUUCUUUAAAGUUUCCCCUAUUUUGCUGUCUGACAGUUCUGACCACUCUACACUAAAAAUGAAUUAUCUAAUUGUACAGAAUUUGGAUGAUGUUUUAGUUUAUUUAAUUUGAAAAUAUAUUCAUUAAGGAUUCUAAUCAUAUAAAUUAUAACUCAUAAUUAUUUUUCUUCAAUUUUUGAUGAUUUUCCAAAGUCAGAACAGGGGAACCCGAAAUCAUUCUGACAUUGUCUCACAAAAUUUAUUAUAUCGCAUGAUUUACAAUUAUAUUGCUUACACCAUUUCUUCUAUGAGAAACUAGGCUCAAUAAGCUUUAAUUUCAUAUUUUAUUUAUCUUCUAAUUAAAUUCCCACAAUUUUUGGUGAUUUUUCAAAGUUAACCUACUGCUGCUGUCCAAACUGUUUUAGUGCAAAAUAUCGAUUAUUAAGUUUAUAACACUCUUAUUUUCUUUCUCUACACUAUUUCUCUCUUCACUAACAUACCAAGAACAUAAAAUCUUAUAUAAUAAAACUCUACAUUAACAUCAAUUUCAUACCUUUUCAAUAAUAUCAAACUAAAAAAUAUAUUGAAAUCUUGAUGUUCUUACCUUGCUUAAUUGAUUUCAAUCUUUAACUUGAUAUUCUCUCUCCUCCAGCUUCUAUUUCUUGAAUCUAACUUGAUAUUCUAGCUCCCCAUAGUCUCCUUGUUAUCUUUCUCUCUUGAUGGAUAUGGAAAUUCUUUUGAUUUCUAAGUGAAAAUGGUAAAUUUUUGGUAAAAGGACUAAAUUAUAAAGAAAAGAAAGUUUCUUUCUUUCUUUCCUCUUCAUACGUUGGUUGCAUGGGGAAGAAGAUGAUAAUUCCUCAUGUUUCCUUUUAUAUAUAUACUAAAUAGAAUAAUAAUAAAUUAAUAAAAUAUCAUUUAAAAAUCAUAUUAAAAUAUUAAUAAACUAAUAUUUAUUUAAUUAAUUAAUCUAAAAUAUCACCAACAUCAUCAUUGCCUUCUAGAUUUCUCUCUCUUCUAAUUGGCCAUUUUUCCCUUCAUAAUCUUUUAAAAUUCCAUCAUUGAGUCACACUUAAUUUGGUAAAAUUACGAUUUAGUCCCUCAUAAUUCUUAUUUUAUUCAAUUUGGUCCUAAUUCAUCCAUUUUCCUUAGUUUCUAGAUCAUUCCACCCUUAAAAUAUUUACAUCUUUGGUCCUUCAACUUUUUCAUAUUUACACUUUAACCCCUCAAAUUUUGAGUAUUUACUCUUGGGCAACAAUACUUUUCUCACUUUUGCGAUUUAAUCCUUCCUUGCAUUAAUAUGUCAUAAUAUACUUCUCAAUGUUGACAUAUCUCAAAAUUUCCCUUUUUUUUUUUUUACUUUAUUUCCUUAUUUUACUUUACCAAGAAUAAUAUCUUACUGUAGAAAUUUUCAAAAUAUUACAUUUGUGGUCCCGAAACCACUAUUUCGACUAGGCCCAAAUUCGGGCUAUUACAAGUAGUAAUUAAAUAUGUUUGUUAAUUUAUGUCGUUAAUCUUUUACACAGUAUAAAGUUAUUCCACGUUCUUUAAUUUGAUCAUUCAUAAUCCUUAUAUUUUUUGAAUUUUUAAAUUUUAAUAAGCUGACAUAAUAUUACAUAUAUGAUAAUAUUUUUGACGUAUAAGAUUUUGAAAAUAAUAAAACUUAAUGAAUUUAAUGGUUAUCGUUUAGAUCAAGAUUGGAAUUUCAAAAUUAGAAAAAUAUACGGACUAAAAUGAUUAAAUUAAAGUACAUAGACUAAAUUUACAACUUUCCCAUUGCAUAAGUACUAAUAGCAGGAUUUAACCUAUUUUUACAUUUAAAUAUGUAAAAAUAUCACCCAUCCACUACCUCCCAACAGAGAAGAUAAGCUUUUUUUUAGCAAUAAAAGAAAUAAUAAUUACCUGAUAAAUUAUUUUAUGGACAUUUUUCACCAUAUCUUCCAUGAUCCCGUCCAAUUAGAAGAUGCCACAUCAUCUUUUUUUCCACAUCAUAUGUACAUUCAGACUAAACUUCCAAAUCAAAGAUGACGUGUCUUGUUUUAAUUGGUAGAAACUAUGGAUGGUCGGGUGGAAAAUGUCCAUAAAAUAAUUUCUCAUUAUUACCUUGUCUUCGAACACAAAAACACAAACAUUAGCAAACAGAUUUUGCCCAUCCGCUACCUCCCAAUAGACAAGAUAGGUUAUUUUUAAUUAACUCAAUUUUUUUGAUUAAUUACGAAAAUAAUCAACUUAAAAAUUACGUACGUAAAUGAUUGAUUUUUACAGUGCUUGUCGAUGCUGCCAGACACAUCGGCAGCACCGGUCUCAUCAUCGACCAAUAAUUGUAUUAUUUUAAACAUUUUCAGUUCAUUCCCUAGCAUAUUUAAAUUUAUAUAAAUUGAGAUAAUUUUUUGAAGGAUAUAUUUGGGUAAUUUAAAUAAGACUUUUAACUUUAUUGUUUCUAAAAAAAUAAAAAGAAUUUAUUUUUGUUAUUCUUAUAUUUUUAAGGGCUAUUUAAAUAUAAUUUUAAAAAUAGAUAUACUUAACACGCAAAUAAAUAAAAAAUUGAAAAGCAUCAAAUUUGGUGCCGACAUGGUGCACUAAAAAGUUAUUAUUUUCUGGGUAAAUUACAGCAAUAGUCACUUUUAUUUACCUCAUAUUAUAUUUUAGUUAUUUAUAUUUAAAAUAUUACAUUUUAGUCACUUACAUUAUUAUUUUGUUAUUAAGUGGUCACUCCACCGUCAAACUUCGUUACUUCUCUAACGGUAGUCCUACGUGACAGUACAAAUUGAUUUUAAAUGCCAACUGGCAACUACGAUGUCCAAUUGUUGGGACAAAAAAAGGUUUUUAAUUAAAUAAAUUUAAUUUGAACUGCCACGUAGGACCGUCAUUAGGGAGGUAAGAGAGUUUAAUGAUAAAGUGACCAAUUCGUAAUAAAACGAUAAUAUAAGUGACUAAGACAUAAUAUUUUAAACUUAGGUGAAUAAAAUAUAAUCUGAAGCAAAUAAAAAUGACUGAUUUAUAGUUUACCCAUAAUGUAGUUAUUGGCGGAUGACCCGGCCGCACCAACAAACAGCAGAAAUAGAGUCAUUUUCGUAAUUAUUCACAAAAUUUGGGUUACUUUUGUAAAAAAAACCCGAGAAGAGAACCUCGCCCUUGCUUAAGAUAGACGGACACUUUCUGACUUUCCCUUCUGUCAGUUUUUCAUCAACAGCUUUGCCUCUUACCAAAACAUCAAUGGAUGUUAGUGUAAAGAGAUGGAGCAUGAUACGCCCUGCUCAAGAUACUCCUAAAGAAAGGCAAUGGAUUUCAAAUCUGGACUUGGUGAUGCCAACAGACCAUGUCCCUUUACUGUUUUUCUACAAACCUAAUGGCUCCUCUGACUUCUUCAAGCCUCAAGUGCUACAGGAGGCUUUAAGCAAGACUCUUGUGCAAUUCUAUCCUAUGGCUGGGAGGUUGGGACGUGAUGAAAAUGGUAGGCUCGAGAUAUUAUGCAACGCAGAGGGUGUUCUGUGGAUAGAAGCUGAAACUACAUCGGCCAUGGAUGAUCUCGACGGUUUUACUCCCUGCUCAAAACUGAGGAAACUGGUUCCCACGGCUGAUUACUCUGGAGAUAUCAGUUCUUAUCCGCUUAUUAUGGCUCAGGUAAGUGAAAGAAGAACUAUUAUCUUAUUAUAGAUGAUAAGUGUUACUUGCAGUAGGAGACCAAGGAUAAGCUCUGAGAAAACUCAAACAGCCUGAUACUGAAGUUAAAGCACAAGAAAAACUAAGCUAUCAGCUAAGAAGUUGAUAUAUGGCCUUUUUUUUUUUUCUUUCAAAACUUGACUUAAAAAGAAUCGAUUAAUUAUGAAAAUACCCAGGUAUAAGAUCUUAUACGAGGAUGACCCGUUUUCUACGGUAAAAAUUGGUACCGCUAGACUAAUUAGCGGUACCGAUAUUUUUGUAAAAAGUAUUACCAUCAACAAAGUAUCGAUACUUUCCAUUCAUCUUCACAAGAAAGUGCUAAUUACGGAGGUCCAUGGUGGUGGCUUAGUAGCGAGGAAGAUGAAACCAAAACCCUUUCUUUUCAAUGAACCUUUGGUUUGACUCAUUUGUAAUAAUCAUUUUCGUUCGUCGAAUUUGACUGCAUUUUAAAUGGAAAACUGUAAUAAUCCUCACUGAAGAAAAGCUAAGAACAAGAUUAGUCAAAGCGAACAAGGUUAUUACAAAUGAGUCGGGCAAGAGGUUCAUUGAAGAGAAAAGGGUUUCGGUUUUAUCUUCUUUACUGCUAGGCCACCACCAUGGAACUUUUAGCACUUUCUCGUGAAGCUAAAUGAUACCAUCCACAAAGUAUUGAUCCUUUAUCGAUGCCACCAAUGAGUCCAACAACAUUCAAAAUAAAUAUUUUUUAAAAAAAACAUAGGGUGGUGCCUUCAAUGGGAAUGGUGGCACCAAAUUUUAAGGUAGAAAAUGGGUCAUUCUCGUACAAGAUUUUACACUUGAGUCAUUUUUAUAAUUAACCAAUUUUUUUGGUCAAUUUUGAAAAUAAAAAACUUUAAUAUUUUUGUUUCAAAAAGGUCAAUUGUUGUGUGUAUAUUUUGCUAGGUAACUACUCUUAAAUGCGGUGGAGUCUGUCUUGGAAUAGCAACUCAUCAUACUUUGACUGAUGGCACAACGGCCUUUCAUUUCAUCAGUAGUUGGUCUGAAAUGGCAAGAGGCUUGCCCCAAAUUAGCAUGCCACCACUUAUUGACCGAACCCUUCUCCGAGCAAGAGUGCCACCAAUCCCUAGAUUUCAUCAUCUCGAAUGUGACCCACCUCCUUCCUUAAACACCUCUACGUCACUUGGCCCUAAUAACCAUAAACCCUCAACUGUAUCUGUUUUCAAGAUCACACAAAAUCAACUUAAUACCCUAAAAGCCAAGUCAUGGGAACAUGGAAACAAAACCAAUUACAGCACCAACACCAUUCUAGCUGCAUACAUAUGGCGCUGUGCAACUAAAGCUCGGGGCCUCUCAUAUGACCAACCAACCAAGUUAGACAUGCCAAUUAAUGGACGUCCCAGACUAAAUCCUCCCCUCCCAUCAACGUACGUGGGCAAUGCAACGUUUGCGGGUUCAUUAAUUACUCUAUCUGGAAAUCUCCAAUCAGAACUGUUUGUAAAUACCCUAGAACAAGUUCAUGGAACAUUGAAAAGGAUUAAUAAUGAGUAUCUAAGAUCAACUCUUGACUACCUAGAAACACUGCCAGAUAUAACAGUUGCCAAGAGAAAACCAGACACUUACUAGUGCCCAAACCUAAGUAUCAACAAAUGGACACGACUGUCUAUAUAUGAUAUAGAUUUUGGAUGGGGUCGACCAAUAUACAUGGGUCCAGCAAACGUUGUCCAUGAAGGAAAAAUAUACAUACUACCAAGUCCAAC
This 28859-nucleotide long non-coding RNA is filed under the name Gossypium raimondii (Peruvian cotton). Its description in RNAcentral is "long non-coding RNA (GRAI_LNC008746)". The record is from RNAcentral. Lineage: Eukaryota; Viridiplantae; Streptophyta; Magnoliopsida; Malvales; Malvaceae.